Molecule: long non-coding RNA, 1504 nt
Organism: Juglans regia (Persian walnut)
Lineage: Eukaryota; Viridiplantae; Streptophyta; Magnoliopsida; Fagales; Juglandaceae
Exons: 3
Source: RefSeq, a predicted model, not a curated record
ACAAGAUUUUAUUCUCAAAGAAACCCAGACAAUGAAGAACUUGAAAGCUGACAGUGUACAAAGCGACUUCGUGCGAGAGGAAGGUAUGCGACGAAACGACGGCUGGACAGAGAUCUACCUCUUCCAACAGGCACGGUGGAGCAAAAACUAAGAUCAUCUCUAAUCUGAAGAGGCUCGUGCUCCAACACAUGACUGGGGUCCGGGGCAUACUUCCGAAGCAUAGAGACAUGGAACACAUUAUGAAUAGUAGAUAAUUGAGGUGGGAGUGCCAAUUUGUACGCUACAAGUCCUAUUCUUUCUAAAAUUUCAAAAGAGCCUAUAUACCUCAGACUCAGUUUUCCUUUUUUACCAAAUCUCAUUAUCCCUUUCAUUGGGGCAACUUUUAGUAGCACUUUGGUCGCAGCAACGACUCAGUUUUUCCAAUCAAUGGUUACUGGUUAGUACGCUACACCUAGGGCACUGCAAGUUGGCUGUACGUUGGAGCAGUUUUCUAGUCAGCACCCCCCAACCUUUGAUGGCAGGUUAAAUGCUAUGGAUGCGGAUAGUUGGAUUGAAUGUUUGGAGCAGAUUUUUGAGGCGUUGUUCUGCACAGAUGAUCAAAAGGUUAUUUAUGCAACAUACGACCUAACAGACCUAGCUAACAACUGGUGGAAGUCAACUCGGGCACUUUUACAGAAUGAACUAGGGGAAGGAGUCCCCAUUACUUGGGAGCGCGUUAAGGAGGUAUUCCUGGAUCGUUUCUUUCCACAGUCUUUACGAGAGUCUAGAGCACGUCAGUUCAUGGACCUCACACAGGGAACGAUGAAGGUUGAUCAAUAUGCCACCAAAUUCAUGGAGCUGUCUCGUUACACUAGUUAUCUGAUUCCAGAUGAAGAAAAGAAAGCUGAGAAAUUUGAAUGUGGUCUGGACUGGAGAAUUAGAGAUCGAGUACGUGCCCUUAAGAUUCGAAAUUUUUCUGAGUUGGUGAAUCGAGCCGCUAUUGUUGAAGAAGGUAUCCUGGAGAGUAUCGAAUAUAAUAAUCAGAAGAAGCGUUAGCAAUAGUCACAACCUAUCCAAUCUACACGUAACAGGAAUAAGAAGCCUCACCAUGAUAGUCGUCCAGGGCCACAGAUAGGAGGACAGACUUAUCCUACAUGUUCAACAUGUGGGAAGAAGCAUAUGGGAAAAUGUUUAUAUGGCCAGACGUGUGCUUCAAGUGCGGGAAGCCGAACCAUUUAGCUCAUGAUUGCCCUAUGAAGAAAUUCGGGAAACCAGGAAAGAGUGGAGGACAGAAGAUGACAGCUACAGCACAUGUAUAUUCCCUCACCCUUGAUGACGCUGCGGUGUCAAAUGAUGUAGUCACAGGUGAGGAGAAUGAGGACUACAGGCAGGUGGGCCAAGUUUAGAAGGAGCGGACUGAAGAACCUUAGACUAUAUUUAUGAUUUCUUUUAAUUUAGUUGGUUUGGAAACUUGGAUAUGUCUAUGUUUUUUUUUAAAAUGGUUUAACUUAAAUUUUCUUUUGGA